GACGAACGCUGGCGGCGUGCUUAACACAUGCAAGUCGAACGAUGAAGAAAAGAAUCGAAGCUUCGGCAGAAAUUCAUUUCGGAUUAGUGGCAGACGGGUGAGUAACACGUGAGCAACCUACCUCUUACAAAGGGAUAGCCUCGGGAAACCGGGAUUAAUACCAUAUAACAUUGCGACGAAGCAUUUCGAUGCAAUCAAAGCUACGGCGGUAAGAGAUGGGCUCGCGUCCCAUUAACCGGAUGGUGAGGUAACGGCUCACCAUAGUGACGAUGGGUAACCGGCCUGAGAGGGUGAACGGUCACACUGGAACUGAGACACGGUCCAGACUCCUACGGGAGGCAGCAGUGGGGAAUAUUGCACAAUGGAGGGAACUCUGAUGCAGCGACGCCGCGUGAGUGAUGAAGGAAUUCGUUUCGUAAAACUCUGUUCUAUGGGAAGAAAAGGACUGUACCAUAGGAGAAAGCUCCGGCUAAAUACGUG
Molecule: ribosomal RNA, 480 nt
Filed under: uncultured bacterium
Lineage: Bacteria
Description: partial 16S ribosomal RNA
Rfam family: Bacterial small subunit ribosomal RNA
Source: RNAcentral